Molecule: long non-coding RNA, 469 nt
Filed under: Homo sapiens (human)
Lineage: Eukaryota; Metazoa; Chordata; Mammalia; Primates; Hominidae
Description: non-protein coding lnc-R3HCC1L-7:10
Source: RNAcentral
UAAAUAUCUACUCAUGGGAUUGCUGGGCUGUAUGGGGGCAGCAUCUUCUACUAUGUGCAUCUACAUUGGAUGGCAGUGGAGCAACACAGAUUGUUUUCUGACAAAAAUCAGCCAAGUACUAGGAGAGGCAGGACUUUAGAAGUGGAGGAGAUGGAGAAGGAAGCUUAGGUUACUAUGGAGUGUGCAAAAAGGUCCUGUGGAUUUAGAUACCACCACACACAAAUGCUGUUGUUGGAAGGUACCUGCCCAGAUAAGGACUGCAUUUCCUCUAGCAUCCAGAUGGGACCAAAUGACUGCUGGCCAAUAGAAGUGAGUGGAAAGGACUGACUCCAGUUCCAGGUUGGGCCUCCAACUGCUCUGGGCACGUCGAUGGAACAGAACACCACCUCCACCCCAAUACCACCAAUUCAACUUUACAUGAAUUAUAAGCGAGAAAUAACUUGGACUGUGUUAAGUCAUUGAGUUUCUG